ACCGGCAGCUCAAGUGGUGGCCAUUUUUAUUGGGCCUAAAGCGUUCGUAGCCGGUUUGAUAAGUCUCUGGUGAAAUCCCGCAGCUUAACUGUGGGACUUGCUGGAGAUACUAUUAGACUUGAGGUCGGGAGAGGUUAGGGGUACUCCCAGGGUAGGGCGAAAAUCAUAUAAUCCUGGGAGGAGCACCUGAGGCGAAGGCCCCUAACGGUAACGAACCUGCCGGUGAGUAACGAAAGCCAGUGGCGCGAAUCG
This 252-nucleotide ribosomal RNA is filed under the name uncultured prokaryote. RNAcentral's name for it is "partial 16S rRNA". It matches the Rfam family "Archaeal small subunit ribosomal RNA", at positions 475 to 726 of the family's 1478-position model. The record is from RNAcentral.